RNAcentral lists this non-coding RNA (155 nucleotides) under Monosporozyma unispora. Lineage: Eukaryota; Fungi; Ascomycota; Saccharomycetes; Saccharomycetales; Saccharomycetaceae. The record is from RNAcentral.
AAGGAAAAUCAUAUUUAUUUAUAAAAUAUACUUAUGUAAUAUAAAUAAUAUAUUCUUACUAGUACCUCAUGUUAAUAGAAAGGAUUAUUGAAAUACAUGUAUAAAAAUAAUAUUAAUAUAUUAAUUAGUUAUAUAUAGAACAAAAAUAUGUUUAU